Molecule: RNA transcript, 1518 nt
Organism: Trachymyrmex septentrionalis
Lineage: Eukaryota; Metazoa; Arthropoda; Insecta; Hymenoptera; Formicidae
Gene name: annexin B9-like
Exons: 8
Source: RefSeq, a predicted model, not a curated record
AAUUCGAAUAAUUAGGAACUAUUUCGCGGCGGUGUUUCGCAUUUGAAGACCACGUGAGAAUUAAGAGUACCGGUACCGGUCUGUUCCGCGUUGUGUCAUGCAAUUCCGGGUUUCAUCCGCCAGCAAGAAUACCGAAUCGUUUAAUGCUUUCGCGGUCGGCAGACACAAACGCGUAUUCGCCCCCACCAACAAAUUCCUUUCCUCUUCUCUCUCUGCCGUGCUCGACGAAAGAGGCUCUCGGUGACGAGAACGCUGGUUGCGAGCCGUUAGUUAGUCGGCCACCAGAACCGAUACCGUUCUCCAGGAAAGCACAUCGUUGUCGAAAGAGAUAAUCAGCAAGAUGGCAGCUAGUCAGUAUUAUCACAUACAGUGCACACCCACCGUGUAUCCGGCUGAUCCUUUCGAUGCCGAAGCAGAUGCCAGUCUAUUACGAUCUGCAAUGAAGGGUUUCGGGACUGAUGAGCAGGCCAUAUUGGACGUCUUGGCUCAUCGCGGUAUCGUACAGCGACUAGAAAUUGCCGACAAAUUUAAGACAAUGUACGGCAAGGAUCUCAUUUCCGAGUUGAAGUCAGAGUUGUCCGGAAACUUUGAGAAAGCCAUCUUGGCUCUAAUGACGCCUCUUCCCGAGUAUUACGCCAAGGAGUUGCAUGAUGCUAUUUCCGGCAUGGGCACCGACGAGGGUGCACUCAUCGAAGUCCUUGCAUCCCUGAGCAACUACGGUAUCAAGACUAUAUCGGCUGUUUACAAGGACCUGUACGACAAAGAGCUGGAAGACGAUCUCAAAAGCGAUACCUCCGGUUAUUUCAAGAGGCUUUUAGUAUCGUUGUCUUGCGCCAGUAGAGACGAGAGUCCAGACGUCGACGAGGAGGCCGCACGUCAGGAUGCCGAGAGGCUUCAAGCCGCGGGUGAGGGACAAUGGGGCACCGACGAAAGCACUUUCAACGCAAUUCUCAUUACUAAGAGUUUUCCACAAUUGCGACGGAUCUUUAAAGAAUACGAGCACCUCACCGGAGACACCUUGAAGCAUGCUAUCAAGCGAGAAUUCUCUGGUUCUGUCGAAGAUGGCUACUUAGCUGUGGUGAAAUGCGCCUCCGAUAAAACUGCUUAUUUCGCGGAAAGAUUGUACAAAGCUAUGCGCGGAAUGGGCACGAACGAUUCGACAUUGAUACGCAUCAUUGUGACACGAUCAGAGAUUGAUCUGGGCGACAUUAAGGAUGCCUAUGAGAGACUUUACGGAAAAUCUCUUGCGGAAGCUAUCGACGACGACUGUUCAGGCGACUACAAGAGACUUUUGCUUGCCCUUGUCGGAUGAAAAUAUUUCAAUCUUGCAACAGACCCUUUGUUGAAAAUUAUACUUCAAUGUCGCGGAGAUUAUAUAGCGCUUCAUUGUAUUCUGCAAAGAUUUUGAUUAAUUUAAUUUCUUACGUUUUGUUGGCUGUUAAUGAACGAUUGCACCGCCGAGUGGAAAAGAUUAUUGAUAGCAAUGUUGAAUUAAAGAGUAUAUCUAUAAUAUCAUGC